AGUUCGAUUCUGGCUCAGAUUGAACGCUGGCGGGAUGCUUUACACAUGCAAGUCGAACGGCAGCACGGACUUCGGUCUGGUGGCGAGUGGCGAACGGGUGAGUAAUGUAUCGGAACGUGCCUAGUAGCGGGGAUAACACGCGAAAGCGUAGCUAAUACCGCAUACGCCCUUCGGGGAAAGCGGGGACCUUCGGGCCUCGCACUAUUGAAGCGGCCGAUAUCGGAUUAGCUAGUUGGUGGGGGAUAACGGCUCACCAAGGCGACGAUCCGUAGCUGGUUUUGAGAGGACGACCAGCCACACUGGGACUGAGACACGGCCCGGGCUCUACGGGAGGCAGCAGUGGGGAAUUUUGGACAAUGGGGAAACCUGAUCCAGCCAUCCCGCGUGUGCGAUGAAGGCCUUCGGGUUGUAAAGCACUUUUGGCAGGAAGAAACGUGCGGAUAAUACCCCGUGCAACUGACGGGCUACCUGCAGAAUAAGCACCGGCUAACUACAUUGCCAGCAGCCGCGGUAAUACGUAGGGUGCAAGCGUUAAUCAGGUCUGGGCGUAAAGCGUGCGCGACGGUUCGGAAGAAAGAUGUGAAAUCCCAGAGCUUAACUUUGGAGCUGCAUUUUUAACUACCGAGCUAGAGUGUGUCAGAGGAGGUGGAAUUCCGCGUGUAGCAGUGAAAUGCGUAGAUAUGCGGAGGAACACCGAUGGCGAAGACGGCCUCGCAGGAUAACACUGACGCUCAUGCACGAAAAGCGUGGGAGCAAACGGGAUUAGAUACCCUGGUAGUCCACGCCCUAAACGAUGUCAACUAGCUGUUUGAGGCCUUCGGGCCUUGGUAGCGCAGCUAACGCAUUGAAGUUGACCGCCUGGGGAGUACGGUCGCAAGAUUAAAACUCAAAGGAAUUGACGGGGACCCGCACAAGCGGUGGAUGAUGUGGAUUAAUUCGAUGCAACGCGAAAACCUUACCUACCCUUGACAUGUCUGGAAUCCCGAAGAGAUUUAGGGUGCUCGCAAGAGAACCGGAACACAGGUGCUGCAUGGCUGUCGUCAGCUCGUGUCGUGAGAUGUUGGGUUAAGUCCCGCAACAGGCUGGCCCUUGCCAUUAGUUGCUACGAAAGGGCACUCCUAAUGAGACUGCCGGUGACAAACCGGAGGAAGGUGGGGAUGACGUCAAGUCCUCAUGGCCCUUAUGGGUAGGGCUUCACACGUCACAAUGGUCGGGACAGAGGUCGCCAACCCGCGAGGGGAGCCAAUCCCGAAACCCGAUCGUAGUCCGGAUCGCAGUCUGCAACUCGGCCACGUGAAGUCGGAAUCGCUAGUAAUCGCGGAUCAGCAUGUCGCGGUGAAUACGUUCCCGGGUCUUGUACACCGCCCGUCACACCAUGGGAGUGGGUUUUACCAGAAGUAGUUAGCCUAACCGUAAGGAGGGCGGUACACGGUAGGAUUCAUGACUGAGGUGAUCGUAACCUAAAGCCAG
This 1470-nucleotide ribosomal RNA is filed under the name uncultured Bordetella sp. RNAcentral's name for it is "partial 16S-23S ribosomal RNA intergenic spacer". It matches the Rfam family "Bacterial small subunit ribosomal RNA". The record is from RNAcentral. Lineage: Bacteria; Pseudomonadati; Pseudomonadota; Betaproteobacteria; Burkholderiales; Alcaligenaceae.